Molecule: non-coding RNA, 1444 nt
Organism: Theobroma cacao (cacao)
Lineage: Eukaryota; Viridiplantae; Streptophyta; Magnoliopsida; Malvales; Malvaceae
Source: RefSeq, a predicted model, not a curated record
UUUGACCUAGCAUCAUGUGUGUCAUUUUGAAGUCUGAAAUUUCCCAAGCUUUUUCAUGUGUCUUACUAUAAAUCAGAUUGUGCUUCUCUUCCCUCAACUACUCACUGCAUUGAAGGAAAAAUGAUAGUGGUUGCACCCAAUGUCCUCCAGCUCACUUUGCAUCUCUACAUUUAAGUAGUUGAUUUAAUGGAGAGUAAGGUUGAGAUUGGUCUGUUAAAAUCUUAUUAACUAACUUGUACUUUCUUAUGUGUGUAUAUACAGAUGUAUAAUUCUACAUAUUGAGACAAUAGUCAUUAUGCAUAUUCUCACACCAUUGACUUUACUCAAUAUUGUCUCACAGCCCAAUUUCUUCACAUCCCGUUCAGACUUGUGUUUGCUCCUUCAGGGUCUCCAUUUUCUUAAUUUAUCCACUUGCAUUUUCUAAAUGUGUUGUUUCUUGACUACAAGCAUUCUUAUACUGUAAUAGCCACUGACCUUCUAGCCAUUUAAUCCUUAGUUUGAAAGGUCUUUCAUCCAGCAAGGCAUGUGCUAAUGAAACUGAUUAGUCAACCUUAAUACUGUUUAAUGCGUCAUUAUGUGUCAUCCUAGUCUAAGCUGGCAGUCCCUCUUCUGUUAUUGGGAAUUUCCUUGAAAUCUGGUCUGACAAUGGAUAGAUUAAAAGUAUGGAUGUUGAAGUUUGAUUUGAAAUUAAGCUCUCAAGCAGCCUGUUGAGAUCAAGUUGAUCCAAGAAGCACUUGCUUUUGGUUUGUACUGCUGUUGAGCUUGGUAGUGAAAUUAAAUGCUCAUCAAAGCUACUUUUGACAUCUUUGUAGCUUCAUCAACGGCAGAGUUACUUAGUUUUCCCUACAUUCUUUCAGUUCAAAAUUGCACGUUCAUCUGGGGUAGGAAUUAAAGCUACCCUGGGCCUAUGUUAAGCUAAGGAUGAACUUUGAAAAGGAGGGGAUAACCAUGUGAUUGCUCAUCUUCUUUUCCACCAUUUGGUUGGUCUUAAAUUUUUCCUCUCCCUACAUGUAAAUCAAAAGUCAAGGUUCUCACAACUAAGUAAAGAGAUGCUAUUGACCGUAUUUAUCAGCAAUCAAGGAGCUGAACAAGUUACCUAGUACAUGGAGACUAAAGGAAGUUGAGGGCAAGAAAGCUUGAAUUCCCGGGUACUUUUGUUUUACAUCAUAUAUGACAUAAGAUUCAAAGCAUGAAUCCUAUUCUUUGCAUGAGAACAUACUGAACGUAAAGCUCAUUAGCCAAACAAAAGCAUCUUUGAAGGAUAAAUAUCAGAGUCUCCAAAAAAAAAAUUUGUGGAUAAUCAUAAACUCCUUUUGUCAUGCUUAUUAUUCUUUAGCAUAUGCUCCUAUACCCCAUCUCUCUUUCUCUUGUUUGUCUUAUUCGUCCUCCUUUUGUCCCAAUUUGGCACCUCUCCAUUGAAGACCAACUACCUUUUGGCGUCAUU